Molecule: long non-coding RNA, 514 nt
Organism: Labeo rohita (rohu)
Lineage: Eukaryota; Metazoa; Chordata; Actinopteri; Cypriniformes; Cyprinidae
Exons: 6
Source: RefSeq, a predicted model, not a curated record
CUGAACGCUUUGGGGCAGGUGAACCGUUUAAAUUGGUUUCGUGCAAAAGAUAAGCUGCUAACUACUCGGCUCUGCUUUCGCAUAAUGCUCUCUCUUUCUUUUAAAAUGUCAACGAGUGUAAAUGCCAACAUCAUCACAUCUAAAGGAGUGAAGGCUGUCAGUUCCAAAAUGGCAUCGUCCUCCUGGAAGUGACAUCAUUUUGGAGGGAAAACAGCAGCACAAACAUGUAUUGUAAGAUUGGUUGAAGGUUACAACUAUGGCCAGUGACAGAAGAAAUUACAAACAUGAACCUGAGAUUUUCUGCUACAUAGGUCCAGAUGAAAAAUCAAUACUUGGCCAGCCUCUCUAGGUCACCGUCGCAGACCGCCAUAACCAGGGACGACAAAACAGACACUAGCGUGUUUAGUUGACUCAAUACAUACUGAGUGUUGAGGUCUGUAAAUAUGGGCCAUCACCAUGACGACACGACUGAAGGUUUGAAGGUCUUUGUGAUUAUAAAUGUGAAAGAGUGGAC